RNAcentral lists this ribosomal RNA (362 nucleotides) under uncultured Anaerolineaceae bacterium. Its description in RNAcentral is "bacterial SSU rRNA". It matches the Rfam family "Bacterial small subunit ribosomal RNA", at positions 1008 to 1378 of the family's 1533-position model. Lineage: Bacteria; Bacillati; Chloroflexota; Anaerolineae; Anaerolineales; Anaerolineaceae. The record is from RNAcentral.
GGUUUCGUGCUCGAAAGAGAACCUGCACACAGGUGCUGCAUGGCUGUCGUCAGCUCGUGUCGUGAGAUGUUCGGUUAAGUCCGGCAACGAGCGCAACCCUCGUCGUAUGUUACAUGUGUCAUACGAGACCGCUGGUAUAAAGCCGGAGGAAGGUGAGGAUGACGUCAAGUCAGCAUGGCCUUUAUAUCUGGGGCUACACACACGCUACAAUGGUCGGUACAAUGGGUCGCAAAGCCGCAAGGUGGAGCCAAUCCUCAAAGCCGGCCUCAGUUCAGAUUGUAGGCUGCAACCCGCCUACAUGAAGUCGGAGUUGCUAGUAAACGCGCGUCAGCAUUAGUGCGUUGAAUACGUUCCCGGGGAUU